AGCAGCCGCGGUAAUUCCAGCUCCAAUAGCGUAUAUUAAAGUUGUUGCAGUUAAAAAGCUCGUAGUUGAAUUUCGAGAUCAAAUUGUCGGUCGUGCCUCGGUACGUACUGGCAUUAUUGAUUUCUCCUUUCUGAAGAACCAUGAUGUCAUUAAUUGGGUGUCUUGGGAAAUCAGGACCGUUACUUUGAAAAAAUUUAGAGUGUUUAAAGCGGGCUCACGCUUGAAUACAUUAGCAUGGAAUAAUGAAAUAGGACGUUUGAUUCUAUUUUGUUGGUUUCUAGGAUCGACGUAAUGAUUAAUAGGGAUAGUUGGGGGCAUUAGUAUUCAAUUGUCAGAGGUGAAAUUCUUGGAUUUAUUGAAGACUAACUACUGCGAAAGCAUUUGCC
RNAcentral lists this ribosomal RNA (386 nucleotides) under uncultured Glomeromycotina. RNAcentral's name for it is "SSU rRNA". It matches the Rfam family "Eukaryotic small subunit ribosomal RNA", at positions 569 to 959 of the family's 1831-position model. The record is from RNAcentral. Lineage: Eukaryota; Fungi; Glomeromycota.